GGGUUGGGCUGUUCGCCCAUUAAAGCGGCACGCGAGCUGGGUUCAGAACGUCGUGGGACAGUUCGGUCCCUAUCCGUCGCGGGCGUAGGAAAUUUGAGAGGAUCUGCUCCUAGUACGAGAGGACCAGAGUGGACUUACCGCUGGUGUACCAGUUGUCUUGCCAAAGGCAUCGCUGGGUAGCUAUGUAGGGAAGGGAUAAGCGCUGAAAGCAUCUAAGUGCGAAGCCCACCUCAAGAUGAGAUUUCCCAUGAUUUUAUAUCAGUAAGAGCCCUGAGAGAUGAUCAGGUAGAUAGGUUAGGAGUGUAAUUGUGGUGACACAUUUAGCGGACUAAUACUAAUAGCUCGAGGACUUAUCCAAAA
Molecule: ribosomal RNA, 360 nt
Filed under: Streptococcus agalactiae
Lineage: Bacteria; Bacillati; Bacillota; Bacilli; Lactobacillales; Streptococcaceae
Description: partial 23S ribosomal RNA
Rfam family: Bacterial large subunit ribosomal RNA
Source: RNAcentral